This 3317-nucleotide long non-coding RNA is filed under the name Sus scrofa (pig). RNAcentral's name for it is "lncRNA (ENSSSCG00000057664.1)". Lineage: Eukaryota; Metazoa; Chordata; Mammalia; Artiodactyla; Suidae. The record is from RNAcentral.
GAUCAGACUCUAGCAGAAAUGCCAGAGAAUCUCUCCUCAAAAAAAGCACCUCAGGCAAUUUUCUCAGGAUCAAGCAAGUUGCAGGAACUCUCUUGCACAGCCCUCCAGGUGUUUACAAGAUAAAUAACAUGCUCCCAACAGAUGAAAACCAAAGAGGAGUUCCCACUGUGGCUCAGUGGUAACGAGCUCAACCAGUAUCCGUGAGGAUGCAGGUUCAAUUCCUGGCCUCACUCAGUGGGUUAAGGAUCCAGCGUUGCUGUGAGCUGUGAUGUAGGUCACAGAUGCGGCUCUGAUCUGGCUGAGCUGUGGCUGUGGUGUAGACCAGCAGCUGCAGCUAGGAUUCACCCCUAGCCUGGGAGCUUCCAUGUGCCACAGAUGCAGCCCUAAAAAAAAAAGAAAAAAAAGAAAAGCCCAGAGAGACAUACAAUAAUACAAGGGUGUGAAUCAAACGAGCCAAGAGAUUGUUCAGCCAAGAAGUCACACUUCAGAUCCAGGGCUCGGUGAUGGCACUGCCCAGAGGGCAAACUAUUACAAGUUUUGCCGUGUACUGGUUGUUGACUCUGAAUCAAGUCCGAUAAUUGCUUUAAGUCUGUUUCCUCAUUUGUAAAGUAGGGAUAACAUAGGCCUAAAGGUAUUGCUGUGAGAAUUCAAUGGAUGAACUGCAGUUGUAUUUAUAAAGCAAGCAGGCAUUUGGUUAAAUGUCAGUUUUCAUCCUUAUAAAAACAGCUAGUUUGUGAGCACCUGACAUGCCCUGCCUAAGUGUUUUACAUUUAUUUGCUCCUUUAAUCUUCACAACGACCCAAUAAGGUAGGUUCCAUUAUUCUCCUCAUGUUACAGAUGAGGAAACCAAAGCACAGAGAAGUUAAGCAACUUGCCCAUUGUCCCCCAGCCAGAAAGUGGCAGACCUGGAACUUGAACCCCUAAAGCCUGGCUCCAAGCCCCAGGAUGAAUAACCCCCUUGGGAACAAAACUAUAACAUCCUUUAGGAAUCAUGAAAAUUGCACCUUGGUUUCUUUGGGGGAAAAGUAGACCACACAGCUGAAUGAGUCCAAAAAUUAGCUGAGGGGCCAAUUAUAGGUGCGGGCAUCUGGCCAGGAUUCCUAGUCCUCUGAGUUUUCCCGGAUUGGCUUACACACAGCUGAAUUUGUGGGACGGGGAAGUGAUUGGUCUUGCUAAAGCUGGUUCUUGUUGGCUAACCUCCUUCUCACUCAGGGACAGACAUCAAUUAGUUGCAGCCUCAACACAGGACACCUGUUUCUGGACUCCGCCCACUGAAAACAAGGCCUUUGUAAGAAUACAAAGGGAUAAGAGGAAAAUCAGGCUGAACUGGUGUCUUGGGGACAUGGUGUUGGAGUCGCGUCCACUCAUGUGCCUGGCUUGAUUUACGAAUUAUGGAUAAUCGCAAACAAACAGAAACCAGGCAGUCACACUUCUGGAUGGAGAGAUGCAAAGGAGCCUGGAGACACUGCUUGUUUCUGGGGAGGGGAGCCCAGAGUCUGGUUGGGAGGAAGGCUUCCCAUUUGUGCAGCUUUGUUUUUACACCCUGAGCACCUCGGUCAGGGUUCUGGCAGGAUACAGCUGGCACACUUGAAUAAGGUGAUGUAGGCGGGCUUUCCUACCAGGCCAUUACCAGAAUGGGAGCAGAUGCCUGGAGACCCAACCAGUGGAGUAUCUGGGCUGGGGCUGGGGCUGGGGUGGGUAGUAGAGAGGAGCUGUUGGCAGAACUGUACCUGGCUGGGUAAGGGUUGGGAAUGGCCACCAGUGCCUUGGGAAGGGCUGCCCUAGGAGAACAGGUGACUCAGAUCCUGGAGGUGGGGAAGGGCCAUAAAUAACCUCUACCUCCGUCUGGUCCUACCCUCUACACUCCUGCUGGCCUCUCUACUUGCUGAACCCAACCACCAGGCAGAGACGGGGGUGAUUCUGCAGGGCCCAGAGCAGGGUGGAGAUGGGCAGAAGGAGUCUCUGUAGAGCAGACUGGACUGCUGGACGGUAGGCAUGGCUAUGGUGGUACAGUGAUGUAGUAGAGAUACACAUAUUUGGGAGUUCCCGUUGUUGCUCAACAGGUUAAGAACCCGACUAGUAUCCGUGAGGAGGUAGGUCCAAUCCCUGACCUCGCUCAGUGAGUUAAGGAUGUGACGUUGCCUCGAGCUGCAGUGUAGAUCACAGACAUGGCUCAGAUCCCGUGUUACUGUGGCUGUGGUGUAGGCUGGCAGCCACAGCUCUGAUUCGACCCCUAGGCUGAGAACUUGCUGCAAGUGCAGCCCUAAAAAGACAAAGAAAGAAAGAAGGAAAGAAAUAGGUAUUUGGUCUUCAUCCUUAGUUCCUGGCCCAGAGUUCCUAAAUCCUUGUAAAACUGAGUGAUGGGAAAUUAAGAGCAUCUUUGUUACACUGUUUGAUCCUAGUCCCCAUUCCUGACAUAGAGCUUCUCUAAAAUCUUUGAAUCUCCAGAGUGAUUAAGGGUGUCUUUCUCUAGGUUAAGGAAAUGACGGAUGACUGGGGGCUGCAGUGGGGAGUCAUCACCUGAACUGGAAAGGCCAGCAUGAUUAGAGGGUAAGAAAUUUCAGCCCCAGCCCAGCCCACUUCUGGGGAGAGUAGAGGGGUCACCGAUUGAGUUCAUCACCCAUUGCCGAUAAUUUAAUUAAUUAUGCCUACGUAAUGAAAUCUCCAGGAAAACCCUAAAUAAAAGGGUUGGCAUUGGUGGCACUUGGGAAUGUAUUCCAGCAUCUGGAUGGUGGUACACCCCAGCUUCUUAUGUACCUCGCCCUCUGGGUGGUCGUUUGUAUCCUUUAUGAUAAAUGGGUCAUGGUAACGUGUUUCCUUGAGUUCUGUGAGCUGUUACAGCAAAGCAUGAGGAUGGGGUCAGGGGAGCCCCUGAUCUGUAGCCAUAGAAGCUUGGCGCACUGGGAACUGAAUACAUGACUGGCAUCUGAGGUGGGGGCAGCCUUGUGAGACUAAACCCCUAACCUGUUGGGUCUACGAGAACCCCAGGAGGUUAGGGUCAGAACUGAAUGAGAGGGGAGUUCCUACUGCGGCGCAGUGGAAACAAAUCUGACUAGUAUCCAUACGGACGUGGGUUCGAUCCCUGGCCUCCCUCAGUGGGUUAAGGAUCUGAUAUUGCCGGGAGCUGUGGUGUAGGUCGCAGAUGUGGCUCGGAUCCCUCGUUGCUGUGGCUGAGGUGUAGGCCAGCAGCUGUAGCAUAGAUUGUCCGCUAGCCUGGGAGUUUCCAUAUGCCACAGCACAGCCCCCCACCUCCCGAAAGAACUGAAUAAGAGGCUGUGGCUUCUAAAAGUCUCAUGUGAUACUUCUGCCCACCGUUC